This 579-nucleotide ribosomal RNA is filed under the name uncultured Hyphomicrobiales bacterium. Its description in RNAcentral is "bacterial SSU rRNA". It matches the Rfam family "Bacterial small subunit ribosomal RNA", at positions 105 to 719 of the family's 1533-position model. The record is from RNAcentral. Lineage: Bacteria; Pseudomonadati; Pseudomonadota; Alphaproteobacteria; Hyphomicrobiales.
GGUGAGUAACGCGUGGGAAUCUACCUUAAGCUACGGGAUAACAGAGAGAAAUUUCUGCUAAUACCGUAUGUGGCCUAUGGGCGAAAGAUUUAUCGGCUUAAGAUGAGCCCGCGUUGGAUUAGCUAGUUGGUGGGGUAAAGGCCUACCAAGGCGACGAUCCAUAGCUGGUCUGAGAGGAUGAUCAGCCACACUGGGACUGAGACACGGCCCAGACUCCUACGGGAGGCAGCAGUGGGGAAUAUUGGACAAUGGGCGGAAGCCUGAUCCAGCCAUGCCGCGUGAGUGAAGAAGGCCUUAGGGUUGUAAAGCUCUUUCACCGGUGAAGAUAAUGACGGUAACCGGAGAAGAAGCCCCGGCUAACUUCGUGCCAGCAGCCGCGGUAAUACGAAGGGGGCUAGCGUUGUUCGGAUUUACUGGGCGCAAAGCGCGCGUAGGCGGAUAGAUAAGUCAGAGGUGAAAUCCCGGGGCUCAACCCCGGAAUUGCCUUUGAUACUGUUUAUCUUGAGUGCAGAAGAGGUAAGUGGAAUUCCGAGUGUAGAGGUGAAAUUCGUAGAUAUUCGGAGGAACACCAGUGGCGAA